Molecule: long non-coding RNA, 1368 nt
Filed under: Canis lupus familiaris (dog)
Lineage: Eukaryota; Metazoa; Chordata; Mammalia; Carnivora; Canidae
Description: lncRNA (ENSCAFG00040008022.1)
Source: RNAcentral
AUGAAGGCCCCCCGGGUGCAUGCUGGUUGCUCGCUGCUUGCUGGGUGCUCGCCAGGUGCUCGCCGGGUGCUCACUGGGUGCACGCCAGGUGCUUGCUGGGUGCACGCUGCUUGCUGGGUGCUCGCUGGGUACACGCUGCUCGCUGGGUGCACACUGCGUGCACGCUGGGUGCACGCUGGGUGCUCGCUGGGUGCUCGCUGGGUGCUCGCUGGGUGCACGCUGGGUGCUCGCUGGGUGCUCGCUGGGUGUUCGCUGGGUGCUCGCUGGGUGCAUGCUGGGUGUUCGCUGGGUGCUCGCUGGGUGCAUGCUGGGUGCUCGCUGGGUGCAUGCUGUGUGCUCGCUGGGUGCUCGCUGGGUGCAUGCUGGGUGCUCGCUGGGUGCUCGCUGGGUGCACGCUGGGUGCUCGCUGGGUGCUCACUGGGUGCUCACUGGGUGCACGCUGGGUGCAUGCUGGGUGCUCGCUGGGUGCACGCUGGGUGCACGCUGGGUGCUCGCUGGGUGCUCGCUGGGUGCAUGCUGUGUGCUCGCUGGGUGCUCGCUGGGUGCUCGCUGGGUGCAUGCUGGGUGCUCGCUGGGUGCUCGCUGGGUGCAUGCUGUGUGCUCGCUGGGUGCUCGCUGGGUGCUCGCUGGGUGCAUGCUGGGUGCUCGCUGGGUGCUCGCUGGGUGCAUGCUGCGUGCUCGCUGGGUGCUCGCUGGGUGCUCGCUGGGUGCAUGCUGGGUGCUCGCUGGGUGCUCGCUGGGUGCAUGCUGUGUGCUCGCUGGGUGCUCGCUGGGUGCUCGCUGGGUGCAUGCUGGGUGCUCGCUGGGUGCUCGCUGGGUGCAUGCUGCGUGCUCGCUGGGUGCUCGCUGGGUGCUCGCUGGGUGCUCGCUGGGUGCAUGCUGGGUGCAUGCGCACAGGCCCGCCCUGCCCGUCCCGUGCUCCUUUGCACUCCGUUCUCGGCCAGCAGCCAGGAGCUCGCCCAGGUACGCAUGCCACCCCCUCCACGCCUGCCCCCACCUUGCCUCUCUCCGCUCCACGGACACAGCUGUCCUCCCGCCUCUCGCGUUGCCCCCCACCGCCGUCCCCCUGACCCCUGCAGGGUGGCCAGGACACUUCGGCGUUCUCUGCAAAUGUCCUGCUGCCUGAAAAAAGGCCUUGACCGGGCACCCGCCCCACGGGAACCGCCCCUUUCCCACGACUCCACUCAGCGCAGCACUGCCGGGCCCUAUGUGCACAGACACAUGGUGUGUGUUUCCUGGUUGGCGGGUCCCUGGCGGUCUCCCAGCUCCAGGCCUCGUUGUCUGCGAGUCCCCCCAUGGGCUCCCCGCUGUCUGGCCCGGCGAGUGCUCCGUAAAUGUCACAGCUCUUCUUCCACAAAUAUUUGCUGA